Molecule: long non-coding RNA, 811 nt
Filed under: Homo sapiens (human)
Lineage: Eukaryota; Metazoa; Chordata; Mammalia; Primates; Hominidae
Description: HSALNT0304547
Source: RNAcentral
CAGCUUAGUGGUUACACAGCAGCUAGCUAUCCUAUCCCACCUGCAGGUAUCCUUGUCAAUGCAACUUUGAUUUGUCAGGCAGCUGGUUGAGAUCCCUUGAAGUCAAGAUGAGCCAGGUCUGGGAGGAUUCCUGAUGAUAUCACUUUGUUACCCAAAUUUCCUUCCCCGUGGCCAGUGACUGGGUAACAAGUGAGCAUGGGACAGUGCGGAUGAUUUGAACUCAAGACGAGAUCCACUAGAAGCAUGAAGGAACAAAUGGUGGUGUGCCAGGAGACAGCCCCUAGAAAGUUAAUCCUACUUUGAAGACCUCUAAUUUCCCAGUCCUCAGCCAUAGCUGAUUGGACCAGGAAUAGGUGUCUGAAUGAAUAAACCACUGACUCUCAGAAAUUUGAACUGAAAGAGACAGAGCUACUUGAGCUGAAGAGUCAUAUGGAGGCUCCAUGGAAGUAGUGGUUUUCAGCAAAGCAUAAGAUAAUCAAACAUCAGAUACCCUUGGAGGAGAGAAUGACAAAUGGAUAGAUGUACAGAGUGAAAUGAAGUCAUAAGAAAGAGAGAUGCAGAGAUGGCAUUAUGUGAAGACAUUAACCUUGGUUACCAAAUUAAAUAUCCAGGCCCUGGACAGCCAACUACAUUUGCCUCAUCUUUUUUUUUUUUUUCAUUGACAAAUAAAAAAUAUGUUAGGCCGGGUGCGGUGGCUCACACCUGUAAUCCCAGCACUUUGGGAAGCCAAGGAGGGUGGAUCGCCUGAGCAAACUAGAAAAAUAGUCCAACUGUCACUAUCCUCAAGUGCUUCAACUCUACUAGAAAAUGG